RNAcentral lists this long non-coding RNA (2789 nucleotides) under Coffea arabica (coffee). RNAcentral's name for it is "long non-coding RNA (CARA_LNC003375)". Lineage: Eukaryota; Viridiplantae; Streptophyta; Magnoliopsida; Gentianales; Rubiaceae. The record is from RNAcentral.
CAUCACCACCUACCAACCAAAACUCUUCCCUCUUGGCCAAACCUCCCUUGGUCAUUUCUUCUUCAUCCUUGCUCCCCAAGUUCUUCUUAUUUUUCCAUCCAAAAUCACCAAGAGAACUUGCAACUCCUUACUAGCUUAACUUGGAACUUGAGGACAUCUUGAAGAGAAGAGAGGGCCGGCUAUUUGGGGCUGUUUUGGGGAGUUUCUCACACCAAAAAUCUAGGGUUUCCUCUUGUGUUUGGAAGGUAUAAACAUCUCCCACCAAAACUCUUGCUUUCUUGUUUCAUUUCUUGGCUUUGAAGCUUGUAGCUCCUUUCUUGUUGUUGUUGGUUGGAUUUGGUUGGUUGAAGUGGGCUCUAUAAACUCCUAUCUUGGUUAAAUGAGGGCUGCUAUGAUGUUUGUGUGCGUGUUAGUGUAUUUGUGAUGAGUUUUAAUGGUAGGAACUAGAAGAGGAAAAUGAAAGAGAGAAACUGAGAAGAGAGGGAGAAGUGCUGGCCGAAAUUUUUAGUUUUUGUUACUCUGUUUUGAUGCCAUAUUUUCGUGACUUUCUUGGCCCAUUUGAGAGCUGAUAUGUUGAGCUUUAAGUGGGCAAAUUUCUAGCCAAAAACUCUUUCAUUUGGUGCUUCAAAAAUGCAUGAAAAAAUUGGCCAAAAAUCUGGAAAUUUUCCUUUCCCUGCUAACCCAAUGGUCAAAUCUGUUUUGGGGUGUUUUGUUCCAAAUAUUUUGGUGCUAUUAAACCAUCAAUUACUCAAUAAAUGUUUCUGGAAUCUUGGUUUCAAAAAUGGAGCAAAUUGGGGCUGAUUUCGUUGGACAAAACUUUUGGAAAAGAAAGAAUGAUAGGGUUGGCAGAUUGACUUCGAAGAAUUUCACAAACUUUGGUCAUUUUGUUAACUGCCUUCCCAUGCGAGUUUUUGCCUAAAGUUUGGUAGGGAGGUAGUCCAUAUAUGAAUGUUUAAGUGUACCAAAUUUGGCGUAAUUUUAAUACCAUUUCGAUGCCCCAAAGAUUGCUCUUCAAAACUGGAAAAUUGUAUCUUGUGGCUCAAUUUCGUUUCACUUGUGAAAAGAGUUUGAAAACGAUGUCUUCUGAUGAAUUAUAGAAUUUUGAAUCUAGUUUCUAACACCAUAAGCCAUUCUCAAUUUGGACUUGUGUGGAGUUAGAUAUGGUCUGAUUUCAAAACUGUGUCAAAGCUGGAAACUGGAAAAUUGUUGAACAGGUUGAGAAAUCCAGCUAACUUCAAACUGUUGUAUCUUGCUGGUCAAAAAUCAAAAUUUAGUUCCGCUUAUUGUGUUUGAAACUUAACUUGAAACUCUUGCUGUGUUAUAAAUUUUAGAGGCUAAUUCAAUACCUGUAAAUUUUUCCAAAUUUUCAAACUUUGCUGAAAAACAAGAACUGGUUCUGCUCUGUCUUCAUGAAAUAGCAACUUUAGGCUGGAAUUUGAAUGAUUUCUGGUCAGAAUAUGGGAAAAGUGUCUUCUGAAAAGUUUUAUUACUUUGAAUCUAGUUUCCAACGGUAUAAAUUUUUCUAUUUUUGGACUUACCAAACUCAAGAUAUGAUUUUCCAAGUGUGUCGCAUAAAGCUGAAAAUUUCUGAUUUCUUAAGAAAUGAACUUUUAAGAACUCCCAACUUCCUUUUGAGAUUGAUAGUCCGUUUUAAACUUGAUUUCGUGGAUGAUACAAGUUUCCCUUGUGACUUUAAAUCCUCAUUUUUGAAUCUCGAUUUUCGAUGAAUUAAAACACUAUUAAGGCGUUGUCUUAAAUUUUAAGCAAGUGUAUUUCCUUCCUUGAAUGUUAAGUGGUCUAGAGUAUAUGUGAGUGAUAGUUGGUCACUAUUUCUUUAGGUGCUCAAGGGGGUUUCGAAGGGGAUCCCGGUACGGACCAUUGAAGGACUUUAUUUGCUCACUUACUUUUGAAUUGGUGAGUGUCAAGUGCAUGAUUUGUUGCUAAACAUUUGAAUUGUUUCUUGUUAAUUAAGUGAUUUGGACUUGUCGAGACGAGUGUAUACUUUAUCGCACUUAUUCUCUUCUACCUGACUAGAUAAUUGAAUUGCGUGAACUUGGCAAAUCGUACUUGUACAUGUGGGGACGCCCAAAUUCCAUUGGUUAACUUUGUAACUCGAGUCGGCAUGGGCUUGGUCGAGGAGCUUGGGGAACCAUGGAAAAUUAUAAAACUUGAUCUUUUGAGAUCUUAGUUGGCAUACUUGAGUAGUAUUGCCCUUUCGUGCGUGUUUGGUUCCGGAUCUGAGAGGGUGAAAUGGUGGAUGGGGGAAGUAAUUUGGGUUUCUAUGGACUUGCUACCUACCCGGUUGACGGAGUGUCACCACGUGGAGGUAUUAGCUCAAGCCUUGGCAAAGCAAUGAGAAUUUAGCUCUUGAGAGCUCCCGUAUCCUUAUUGAUUGUGCUUUACUGUUAUUUGUGAAUCACAUGAACUUUCUAGUUAUACUCCUCAUAUAAGUGUUAUUGUUACUUGAAUUUAUUUGUUUGCAUGCUUUUCUUGGCCUCACUGAGCGUUAGCUCACCUCCGUAGUUUGUUUUCCUUAACAGGGACUUGAAGUGGAAAGAUUUUGGAGAAGCUGACUUGAUUACCCUUUGAUUAGAAAUUGGAUGUAAAUGACUUUAUUUUGGUACAAUUAUGGAUGUAAUUGAUUAGUCGGCUUAUGGUGGUUGUAUUUUGGGAAAUUUGAUGUACCUUUUGAAAACUUUGUGAAGUAAAACUUGAAUGACUAUAUAAGGAAGCGACUUUCCUGUAUAUUGACUUUUAUUAAUGGUUGAUUACCUUUAAGUUUAAAUUUG